Molecule: non-coding RNA, 156 nt
Filed under: Lotharella globosa
Lineage: Eukaryota; Cercozoa; Chlorarachniophyceae
Source: RNAcentral
AAGAGAUAACCGAGUUAGCAGGGAAAGAAGCAGAGGCAAAAAAAGUCGUGAAUGAAAUUUUUUUAAAAGAAAAUACGUGUUACGACCAUCCUUUCCACUUUCACCUUGCUCCCGUUUUCUUUAAACAUACCGUUUACCAGAACAAGCCAAAAAGAA